CACCAGCCGGAACUGAUUUGUAUCGCCCUGCGUCAGACCGGUACAUAGCUCUGCAGGCACCUUAUCAAUUUCCUGUAAGUUAGCUUCUGUCUCUACCGAAUUGUAAAACAGCCUGUCUGGGGACCGUCACGGGGACACACACCUCUGGAAUCCAAUAACUCGUGACCCUCUAUGGGGCAAUGCCCAGCACCGACAGACAACUCAGGGAUCUCCUAGGCCCGUUUCAAAGGCUUUUGCACUUUCCCCGGGGCUUCAGCCUUCCCACCUGGUAGACAAGUCAGCUAAAGAUGGAAAUGUUAGAUUGUGCGCCGGAGGUCUUGACCUAGUAGGCCUGGAUGAAGCUGUAGGUCGGCCUGGCUCCUUGCCAGCGGCGACUCGGUCUCUGGGCCACACGGAGCCUGUUUUGUUCUCCGUGCUGCCUUGUCAUCCAGCUCUGGCAGGGGAUGUGGACACACAAAGAGAAGGAAUUUUCAAGGAGGGUCUGGCAGAGGGGCCAAGCUCUGUGCUCGGCUUUCUGAGAAGCCGUGUUCCUCACAUCCACGGGCCCCUCCUGUGGGCGGGGGGGUGGGGGCUCUCCCACGUCACCCUCAGUCUCUCCGGGAGGCAGAGAGCAGGUGGGCAUGGGGUUCCCUGUUCCUGCAUGCAGGGGCCUGAGCCCAGAUGUCUCUGAGGUUUCCUGAAGGCGGGUAAGUCCUCUCAUCUGGCUCCUGGAGAAUGAGAAGGGUCCAGUGCACAGCCCUGACUCCCGAACUCUUUCUGGAGCCUAAUAUGGCCUCGAUGAGGGCUCUGAAGUCCUUGCUGGUAGCCGCCCAUCUUCGAGACUUCCAAGGUGGAGGCCCUUCACCAGCUCGAGCAAGGCUGCCCGGGAGCUCCGUUGGUUGAGGCUGCCUGAAAUGUCUACUCGGGCACGAUGUGAGAUGCCCCCAAACUGGACAGCCCCUUCUCAGGUGACAGCGCAGGGAUUCUGGCCCCUCCAGGGUAAGUCUCCUUCCCUGUAGGGAUGUGCAGCCCAUUGACAGUCGUGAGGAUGCCUGGCUGGCGACCAGGACAAUGAGGGGAUCUGGGAUGUGAUCCAAGGCUCCCAGACAAGGUCGUCAUAGCGUGACCAGAGGUUGGCUUUCUCAUCGGUAGCCAUGGGUCUCACCCUAUACUCCCCUCAAAGCGUGCGCGUUAGAGACAAAUAUGUAUUUUACAAGAGAAAUUGACGCCACCUCUGCUGGUGCACCCUCCGACCUCUGCACUUCUAGCUCUCCUCCUCUUCCCUGUCUUAUGGGACACACUCUUUUAGACAUACCUCCAAACCUGACAAUCUCCUGGCUCCCACCUUCACACCUGUACACCUCUACCCUCUGAGCACCGAGGAAGCAAAGACCUCUCUGGUUACCAGGACCCAGAAUGAUAAAGAAAGACAGCAUGAUGCUCGUUCCGGCCGAGAAGGCUCCUCCCAUUGCCCAAGACUCACUGGCCGGGCCGACCACACUCAGGUUGCCCAGUGUCUGUGCUCACUCAAAGCCUGGUCCAUGGGCGUUCCCGACCCCUGAGGGCUUGCUGGACUUCACCCCCCUUGGAUGCCCUCUUCUAUUCUGCGUGUCCUUGAAGUGUGUUUCUGAGCUUGAUUGGGAUCUGUGUUCUUCUCAGGCUCUGUGCUCACCUUGAGCCAAGUCGCCUACAUCUCUGGUGGCAGCUGCAUCCGUAUUCUGGGUCUUGGCAUCCUGGUCUGGACAUCCCAUAGUUACCUCAAAUCUUGACAUGUCCAAAAUGGAAUCAGUCCCCUUUUGCCAAAGUCUGCUCUUCUCCUGCUUUCCUGCUUUCACUUACCUAUGGCCACUGACAUAACAGGCACACAGGCCCCCAGCCCAGACACGGGCUCAUCACAGAUACUUCCUUCUCCUUCACCUCCAACCUCCAGUAAGUCACUCAUCUUAAUGAUAUUUCUACCGUAUCUCUUCUGCACCCUCCCUUCCAUUUCUUCUGCCCUUGAUUGGUUCCGGAUGGCAUCGCUCUUUGCUUGCAUUAUUGCGAUUGCUUCUGAGCUGGUCUCCUUAUAAAAGCAACUCCCCCCAUGGGGCACCUGGGUGGCUCGGUCGGUUAAGUGUCUGACUUCGGCUCAGGUCACGAUCUCAUGGUUUGUGAGUCGGAGCCCCGUGUCGGACUCUGUGCUGACAGCUCGCGGAGCCUGGAGCCUGCUUCGGAUUCUGUGUCUCCUCCUCUCUUUGCC
Long non-coding RNA from Neofelis nebulosa (Clouded leopard), 2218 nucleotides. RefSeq lists it as uncharacterized. The transcript has 3 exons. NCBI's taxonomy places the organism in Eukaryota, Metazoa, Chordata, Mammalia, Carnivora, Felidae. The record is from RefSeq and is a predicted model, not a curated record.